Molecule: ribosomal RNA, 254 nt
Filed under: uncultured bacterium
Lineage: Bacteria
Description: partial 16S ribosomal RNA
Rfam family: Bacterial small subunit ribosomal RNA
Source: RNAcentral
GACGAACCGUGCGAACGUUAUUCGGAAUCACUGGGCUUAAAGCGCGUGUAGGCGGGUCAGCACGUCGGUUGCUGAAAUCCCCCGGCUCAACCGGGGAACGGGCACCGAUACGACUGGCCUGGAGGGGAGUAGGGGGACCUGGAACUUCCGGUGGAGCGGUGAAAUGCGUUGAGAUCGGAAGGAACGCCCGUGGCGAAAGCGAGGUCCUGGGCUCCUGCUGACGCUGAGACGCGAAAGCCAGGGGAGCGAACGGG